This 77-nucleotide transfer RNA is filed under the name Candidatus Regiella insecticola. RNAcentral describes it as "tRNA-Asp". It matches the Rfam family "tRNA". From Rfam's summary of the family: Transfer RNA (tRNA) molecules are approximately 80 nucleotides in length. Their secondary structure includes four short double-helical elements and three loops (D, anti-codon, and T loops). RNAcentral also lists the same sequence under 1 other name. The record is from RNAcentral. Lineage: Bacteria; Pseudomonadati; Pseudomonadota; Gammaproteobacteria; Enterobacterales; Enterobacteriaceae.
GGAGUGGUAGUUAAGUUGGUUAGAAUACCGGCCUGUCACGCCGGGGGUCGCGGGUUCGAGUCCCGUCCACUCCGCCA